Molecule: ribosomal RNA, 1382 nt
Filed under: metagenome
Description: bacterial SSU rRNA
Rfam family: Bacterial small subunit ribosomal RNA
Source: RNAcentral
GUCCUAGUGGCGAACGGGUGAGUAACACGUUGGUGACCUGCCCCGAAGAAGAGGAUAACUCCGGGAAACUGGAGCUAAUACCCUAUGUGCUCCAAGGAGUUAGAGGGCUUUGGAGUAAAGGAGCAAUCCGCUUUGGGAGGGGCCUGCGGCCCAUCAGCUAGUUGGUAGGGUAAAAGCCUACCAAGGCAAUGACGGGUAGGGGACCUGAGAGGGUGGCCCCCCACACUGGCACUGAAACACGGGCCAGACACCUACGGGUGGCAGCAGUGGGGAAUAUUGCCCAAUGGACGAAAGUCUGAGGCAGCAACACCGCGUGCGCGAUGAAGGCCUUCGGGUUGUAAAGCGCUUUUCUGGGGGAAGAGGAAGGACUGUACCCCAGGAAUAAGUCUCGGCUAACUACGUGCCAGCAGCCGCGGUAAAACGUAGGAGGCGAGCGUUAUCCGGAUUUACUGGGCGUAAAGCGCGUGUAGGCGGUUUGGUAAGUCGGACGUUAAAGCUCCUGGCUCAACUGGGAGAGGCCGUUCGAUACUGCCAGACUAGAGGGCAGCAGAUGGAGGUGGAAUUCCGGGUGUAGCGGUGAAAUGCGUAGAUAUCCGGAGGAACACCAGUGGCGAAGGCGGCCUCCUGGACUGUCCCUGACGCUAAGACGCGAAAGCUAGGGGAGCGAACGGGAUUAGAAACCCCGGUAGUCCUAGCCGUAAACGAUGCAGACUUGGUGUUGGUGGUGUAGAAGCCAUCAGUGCCGCAGCUAACGCGUUAAGUCUGCCGCCUGGGGACUACGACCGCAAGGUUAAAACUCAAAGGAAUUGACGGGGGCCCGCACAAGCAGCGGAGCGUGUGGUUUAAUUCGAGGCUACGCGAAGAACCUUACCUGGGCUUGACAUACACGUAGUAGGGAUCCGAAAGGUGACCGACCCUUCGGGGAGCGUGCACAGGUGCUGCAUGGCUGUCGUCAGCUCGUGUCGUGAGAUGUCCGGUUAAGUCCGGUAACGAGCGCAACCCUUGCCCUGUGUUAUACGUGUCACAGGGGACUGCCGGUAUAAAGCCGGAGGAAGGUGGGGAUGACGUCAAGUCAGCUUGGCCUUUAUGUCCAGGGCUACACACACGCUACAAUGGCCAGUACAAUGGGUUGCCAAGCCGUGAGGCGGAGCCAAUCCUCCAAAGCUGGUCUCAGUUCGGAUUGUAGGCUGCAACUCGCCUACAUGAAGCUGGAGUUGCUAGUAACCGCAGGACAGCUAUACUGCGGUGAAUACGUUCCCGGGCCUUGUACACACCGCCCGUCACAUCAUGGGAGCUGGCAACACCUGAAGUCGGUGACCCAACCGCAAGGAGGGAACCGCCGAAGGUGGGGCUGGUGAUUGGGACGAAGUCGUAACAAGGUA